UGCAGUGUAGUGCAGUUGUUUUGAGCACUCAACUAUGAUUCUGCAGAUCAGGGUUCAAAUCCCUGCUGAGCCA
Phrynosoma platyrhinos (Desert horned lizard) is the source of this 73-nucleotide non-coding RNA. The record is from the annotation of a GenBank genome assembly. NCBI's taxonomy places the organism in Eukaryota, Metazoa, Chordata, Lepidosauria, Squamata, Phrynosomatidae.